Molecule: unclassified non-coding RNA, 234 nt
Filed under: uncultured Vishniacozyma
Lineage: Eukaryota; Fungi; Basidiomycota; Tremellomycetes; Tremellales; Bulleribasidiaceae
Description: sequence contains ITS2
Rfam family: 5.8S ribosomal RNA (bases 1-52)
Source: RNAcentral
AACGCACCUUGCGCCCUUUGGUAUUCCGAAGGGCAUGCCUGUUUGAGUGUCAUGAAACCUCACCCCACUUGGGUUUUUGCCUGAGCGGUGGUGUAUUGGGUGUUGCCUUGCCAAAGGCUCGCCUUAAAAACAUAAGCACCUUGGAUGUAAUACGUUUCAUCCUUCUGGGUGGCUGAUAACCCCACAUAUUCAUGAUCUGGCCUCAAAUCAGGUAGGGCUACCCGCUGAACUUAA